Molecule: ribosomal RNA, 819 nt
Filed under: Prymnesium parvum
Lineage: Eukaryota; Haptophyta; Prymnesiales; Prymnesiaceae
Description: partial Bacterial large subunit ribosomal RNA
Rfam family: Bacterial large subunit ribosomal RNA
Source: RNAcentral
GGCGUGGCUACCUGCGAAAUGUCUUGGGGAACUGGAAGCAAGUUUUGAUCCAAGAGUACCCGAAUAAGGAAACUUCUAGAACUACUUCUUAAAUACAUAAAGAAGAAAGAGCAAACCCAGUGAAUUGAAACAUCUUAGUAACUGGAGGAAAAGAAAGCAAAAGCGAUUCUCGGAGUAGCGGCGAGCGAAAUGGGACUAGUCUAAACUCUAUUUCUAUAGAGGGUUGUGGGACAAUUUAGCAAGAUGAAAAUUGUUAGAUGAAACAGGUUGAAUACUGUACCAUAGAAGGUGAAAGUCCUGUAAUCAAAACAUAUACAUUUUUAAAUUGUAUCCCAAGUAGAAAGGGACACGUGGAACCCCUUUUGAAUUUGCGAGGACCACCUCGUAAGACUAAAUAUUCCUGAACAACCGAUAGUGAACCAGUACCGUGAGGGAAAGGUGAAAAGAACCCCGGGAGGGGAGUGAAAUAGAACAUGAAAUCGUGAGUUUACAAGCAGUAGGAGAGCGACUUAACGCUCAACUUCGUGCCUGUUGAAGAAUGAGCUGGCGACUUGUAGGUUGUGGCAAGGUUAAGAUAAGAGAAUAUCGGAGCCAUAGUGAAAGCGAGCCUGAAAAGGGCUUUAAGUCAUAAUUUACAGACCCGAACCCGGAUGAUCUAACCAUGGCCAGUGUGAAGCUUAGGUAACACUAAGUGGAGGUACCAACCGACUGUUGUUGAAAAAACAGCGGAUGAGUUGUGGUUAGGGGUGAAAUUCCAAUCGAAUCCGGAGCUAGCUGGAUCUCCCCGAAAUGCGUUGAGGCGCAGCGGUUAAUAUUUCU